Molecule: long non-coding RNA, 3400 nt
Filed under: Xyrichtys novacula (pearly razorfish)
Lineage: Eukaryota; Metazoa; Chordata; Actinopteri; Labriformes; Labridae
Source: RNAcentral
GAUUGACAGCUAUCCACCUGAACCCAUUGAAACCGGCAGAAGCGUGUACGCAUUUUAACCUUCCAAGCCAGUGGCGCGGCUGCGCAUUUCUAUCCUUUAAGCUAUGAGCGCAGAUACGUCAUUUAGCAACAUUCUGUAGUUUUUCAAUCAUUUCUGGAGUCAUGGCGAAUCAAAUCAUCAUACCAGUCUACCUCUGAUAAGCUAUUAAAGCUUAAGCGCUUGGAUUCAUGCUCGGAUCUUCCUACGUGCCUCGUGAGGAAAGGAAACAAUUACAGAGGCGGAGAGCAGCUUCGGAGGAGAAGCAUCGGGCAGUGUGAACAACCUCUUCAUAGUGAGGUCUUUGGCUCACAUUAUCGGUGAUUUCUGUGAGUGUUGCAUGACUUUGGGUGAGCACAGAGAUGAACACACUGUCAGAAACUUAUUUAUCUAUUUAUUAGUUUUUGGUGCUGCUUUUGUACUAACACUAUACUGGGGCAGCUACAUACCCUUUCAACAUUUAAUUUUUUAUAUUUACAUUUGUAUUGAAUGGACACUUUAUCAUGACUGCCUCUUGUUUUACAGAAAGCAAAUAGUUUGUUUUUCUCCAGUGCAAUCCUUACUUUUAUUUAUACAGCCACUUUAUUUCAUUUGAGUUCGUUUGUUCGAGGUUUUUGAUAAUGUGAUGAAGGUUCGGAAAAAUAAAAGAUAGGUAUCUUGAAAGCCACAUGUAUAAGCUCUCAAAUACUUUUUAAAUUUUGUUUCUAUCUGCUACAGAGGCUGACAUAUCAGCUUUUUUGUAAACCUCAACACUCAACAAGAAAACCUCAGGAUCUGGGGGCCCUUCUCAAAAUGGCCCUCAGGAUUUCAGAGGUGGGUCUCAGACAGGGUUCAGGUCUUAAUGGGUUAAAAGUGGGGAAAAGUUUCUCUGCCUCUGUAGUGGAUAGCUGUCAAUCAUCCUCACAGUCUAUGCCCUUACCAGAGAGACAGAGAGCUCUUUACACAAAUGUGGUCAAGUUUUUUCUGUCAUGACUCUAAAAUUACCAUUUUGCUAGAACUGCCACAUUUUUAUAUCAUAUAUCAAACAAGUAGUCUUAAAGUUGAAAAUGAGUAACAUUACGCUAGCAAUAAUAAGAAUUUUUUUAUCUUUAAAUCAUUAAUUCUAGCCAUAAACUGCAGUGGUUUCUAAAAAAAAAAAAAAAAAAAACCUAAUCAAAUAGAACUGUCCACCAGAGGGCGCUGUUUCUAGCUAAAACUGCCCUGCUGUAAAUAAUGACUGUAUUAUUCCACUUAAUUUAAAAUAAAAGAAUCAUCUACCAACACAUGUCAUGAGUCUUUAUCAAUAUAUUUAUGGAUAAUUCAAUAAAUUAGUAUGCCUUUGUAUCUGACAGAAACAUACUCGUAGUAGAAAAUUGUGACAUGUUGUUCUUGAAGCAGAUCGAGGACUUUCAGUCCAGUGACUGACGGAAGUGUAAUGCAUAUUAAGACUAUUGCACUAAAUCAUGAAAGAAUCACAUUAAACACUGGAGUUAAAAGUCCCAUGUUUAAUUGAUGUAAUAGACACAAGAACAAUAACACCCAACACGGCGAAAGGUUUACUUAUUCAUUUCUUCAUAGAUAUUUGAGACCUACAUCAGCUGCUCUGACAGUCAUGAAAAAAUAAGUGCAAUCAGGUCUUAAGCACAAAUUCAGUAAAACUUUUUACUUAAAUUUGUUUUUACUGUUUCAAGACAUCACGGUUAAAAACAACUCCUUGAUCAGUAAAGAAGCCUGAGAGUUUCUCUGAGCUCUCACCACGGUCCAGUUUGACAUCCUCAGCACAGAUUUUUGUCUUUUGUUGGGUUAAAUGUGACAAACUAAUUGUGUCUUUUCUUUUCUUUCAGGACCAACUGUGGUUUUUUCCUCUUGUGAAUUGUUUUUCUUUGUUCAUACUUAGCAUUUUUGGGGGAGUCUAAGUAUGUGGAUUAUUUAGUUGGAGUAUAGUUUAGUUAAGUUAGGUACAGGCAGUGAAGGUAGGAGUUUUAUUUGAUUUCUUUGAUAUAAGAGAGAUCUUGAGCUCCCCUUUUAGGUACUUGCUACACUCUCUGAUAGGUGGGUUGGAGAUUGAGCUGCCUAUAAAAGGAGAGGAGAAUUGCUCCCAAAGAAGAAAGAUGUGCCCUUGUAUAAUCUCAUUUCAGACUCAUUUUGUUUGAUCUUGGGAAAAGUUUGUAGUUUUUAAUGGAACCUUUAUAUGUGGACUUGACUGUAAAUAAAAACAUAUUCACUUCUGAGAAUACAGCAGUCUGUUGAGUUGCCUUCCCUACCACCUUCCUAGGCUCUUGAGCCAAAACUACUUUACAAAGACCCUGAAGAACUGAGCCAACAACAUAAUCACCAGAGGGGGGGACCCACAAGUUUAUUUAAAAAAAUAAAAACUGUGACUAUGUGUCUCUUUAUUUUAAUCAGAUCCAAGUCUAGUUGAAAGGAGAGUGAAAGAGAAAACAAACAGAAUAGUCCAGGUCUAGGUGAAUUUUGAAGUCCAGGAGCCAAAGUGCCAAGAUAAAAGGGCGCGCAGUUCAUACCCAAGUGUGGAUCGUAUCUUGUAGCAUGUGUGUUAGUCAAUUGGCUCUCAAUGUGUGGACCCCGGUUCGAUUCCAGCUAGUGACGGGGUAGUUCAAAGUAAUGAAAUGAUGAAAAUUUCCUUCUAUACCGUAAUCGGUAUAGACUCCUGAAGAAGUGAUGGUUCACUUCUAAUGAUGGCUAAUUCUGAUCGUUACUAAUACUCUCCAGCCACGAGUUGGUAUCAAACCAGGCCCCAUUGGGUGCCAAUAGACUUCCAUGCAGUGCCAUUAGAUAGGAUCCACACUAGGGCAUGCGGAAUGCCCACUUUUAUCUUUGGCUAAUGGACUUUAAAAAUUCAAGUAGAUGUGGGUAAGGUGAGAAUCGAACCCACGACCUCAAGAGUCUCAGUCAGUGUUCUUACCCUCUGAACUAUGCAGGCACACAGAGUAAUUCCGGGUUUUUCCUAUUUAACUCUUCUUUCUAGACACGUCUUUAAAUUUUAACUAGAUUUGGAUAAGGUAGGGCUCGAACCCACAACCUCAGGAGUGCCAGUCAGUCUUCUUAACCUCUGAGCCAUGUGGACACACAGGAAAUUUCCAGGUUUUUCCUAUUCAACUCUUCUUUCUAGACACUAGGCUUUAAAUUUCACCUCGAGCUGGAUAAGGCAAGGAUCGAACCCACGACCUCAAGAGUCUCAGUCGGUCUUCUUACCCACUGAGCCAUGUGGACACAGGAAAUUUCCAGGUUUUUCUUAUUUAAGUCUUCUUUCUAGACACUAGGCUUUAAAUUUCACCUCGAGCUGGAUAAGGCAAGGAUCGAACCCACGACCUCAAGAGUCUCAGUCGGUCUUCUUACCCACUGAGCCAUGUGAACACAAAGGGUA